Molecule: ribosomal RNA, 840 nt
Filed under: Enterobacter cloacae
Lineage: Bacteria; Pseudomonadati; Pseudomonadota; Gammaproteobacteria; Enterobacterales; Enterobacteriaceae
Description: bacterial SSU rRNA
Rfam family: Bacterial small subunit ribosomal RNA
Source: RNAcentral
GGAAUAACGCUGGCGGCAGGCCUAACACAUGCAAGUCGUACCAAGGUACCCGUAACUUGCUCUCGGUUGACGAGUGGCGGACGGGUGAGUAAUGUCUGGGAAACUGCCUGAUGGAGGGGGAUAACUACUGGAAACGGUAGCUAAUACCGCAUAAUGUCGCAAGACCAAAGAGGGGGACCUUCGGGCCUCUUGCCAUCAGAUGUGCCCAGAUGGGAUUAGCUAGUAGGUGGGGUAACGGCUCACCUAGGCGACGAUCCCUAGCUGGUCUGAGAGGAUGACCAGCCACACUGGAACUGAGACACGGUCCAGACUCCUACGGGAGGCAGCAGUGGGGAAUAUUGCACAAUGGGCGCAAGCCUGAUGCAGCCAUGCCGCGUGUAUGAAGAAGGCCUUCGGGUUGUAAAGUACUUUCAGCGGGGAGGAAGGUGUUGUGGUUAAUAACCGCAGCAAUUGACGUUACCCGCAGAAGAAGCACCGGCUAACUCCGUGCCAGCAGCCGCGGUAAUACGGAGGGUGCAAGCGUUAAUCGGAAUUACUGGGCGUAAAGCGCACGCAGGCGGUCUGUCAAGUCGGAUGUGAAAUCCCCGGGCUCACCCUGGGAACUGCAUUCGAAACUGGGCAGGCUGGAGUCUUGUAGAGGGGGGUAGAAUUCCAGGUGUAGCGGUGAAAUGCGUAAAGAUCUGGAGGAAUACCGGUGGGGAGGGCGGCCCCUGGACAAGGACUGACGCCUCAGGUGCGAAGCGUGGGGAGCAACAGGAUUAAUACCCUGGUAUCCACGCCGUAACCGAUGUCAUUUGGAGGUGUCGCCUGGAGCGUGCUUCCGGGCUAACGGUAAACCGC